UUAAGCACCAACUAGAUUAGGGUUUAGAAAGGCAAAAUGGGAGUGUCUAAUUAGGAAUUAGAGUUGUCUUGGGGUAAACAUCUAAUUCUCUCUCUUUCUAUAUAUAAAUAACCCUAAGAUUUUUAGAUCUGCUUCUCAAACUAUUGCUCUCACUGCUCCCUCUGUCUCUAGGGCUUUCUUCCUCUCAUCAAUCCAUGGCUCAAUCAAUGGCCGAGGAGCAGACGGC
This 226-nucleotide unclassified non-coding RNA is filed under the name Hevea brasiliensis (rubber tree). The record is from RNAcentral. Lineage: Eukaryota; Viridiplantae; Streptophyta; Magnoliopsida; Malpighiales; Euphorbiaceae.